UACGUAGGGUGCGAGCGUUGUCCGGAAUUAUUGGGCGUAAAGAGCUCGUAGGCGGCUUGUCGCGUCGGAUGUGAAAGCCCGGGGCUUAACUCCGGGUCUGCAUUCGAUACGGGCAGGCUAGAGUUCGGUAGGGGAGAUCGGAAUUCCUGGUGUAGCGGUGAAAUGCGCAGAUAUCAGGAGGAACACCGGCGGCGAAGGCGGAUCUCUGGGCCGAUACUGACGCUGAGGAGCGAAAGCGUGGGGAGCGAACAGG
This 253-nucleotide ribosomal RNA is filed under the name uncultured bacterium. RNAcentral's name for it is "partial 16S ribosomal RNA". It matches the Rfam family "Bacterial small subunit ribosomal RNA", at positions 524 to 776 of the family's 1533-position model. The record is from RNAcentral.